Molecule: unclassified non-coding RNA, 231 nt
Filed under: plant metagenome
Description: partial contains small subunit ribosomal RNA, internal transcribed spacer 1, and 5.8S ribosomal RNA
Source: RNAcentral
UCUCCGUUGGUGAACCAGCGGAGGGAUCAUUACCGAGUUCCAGCAACUCCCAACCCUUGCGAACCGUACCCCAGUCUGUUCUCGUUGCUUCCGGCAGGCGGGGGGGGCCACCUGGCCCCUCCCCCUGCCGGGGGCGGCGGGCCCCCUGAACCUUUAUAUCUCAACCACUGAAACCCGUCUGGGCAAAACAAAAAAUAAUCAAAACUUUCAACAACGGAUCUCUUGGCUCUG